Lagopus muta (rock ptarmigan) is the source of this 464-nucleotide long non-coding RNA. RefSeq lists it as uncharacterized. NCBI's taxonomy places the organism in Eukaryota, Metazoa, Chordata, Aves, Galliformes, Phasianidae. The record is from RefSeq and is a predicted model, not a curated record. The transcript is spliced from 3 exons.
AGAGACUGGAUACUGGAAUUUCUGGUGGAGGGACAGAGGCUCUUACAGGAAUCAUACAGCCCAGGCUUAUACUGGUUAUUAAAGCGUGGAUUAGCAGAAAAUCUAGUAUCACAAGCAAUCUGAAUUUUAAGCUGAAUGAUUUAUGAUGUGAAGAUAAUAUUGAUAUAACAUUAUGAAUGUUGUACUGCAUCUGAGAAGCAAGAGCAUCAGUUAUGAAGAUACAGAUUUUAAAGAUGCAUUCUGCUAUGUGAAGGUUCCUGAGCUUUCCUGGAGACAGCACAAGCAACAGGUGUUUAGAGCUAGACAGAGCAUUUGAAAUUCUUUAAUUUUCUGGCAUUUUCAUCAUUCAGAAUAAGCUGAAGAAUAACAGUGAAGUGCUGUAAGUAAAGCUGAAAACAUUGUCCUGGCACUAUGGGUCAUGUCAUGCUUCUCUACAUAUGGAUUCAGUUUUCCAGAAAUGUGAU